CUUGGUGUCCUCUCUUCCCACAGGGCCGUGUAGAAAGAGACCAAGCUCAGAUGGGUGAGCCUUCCUGAGCGCUUGGUCUGGCUGCCUCCUUGGAGACAACAGCCCCUCUCCUAGGCAGGAGAAAUCAAUGGAGAGUGUGGUCUCACCGCACUCACAGGAAAGGGAUGACACUGUGGAAGACUGCAUGGACACUGGGAAAGCCAUUAAGGCGGUGUUGGUGGUGUGGAGACACCAGUGUUGGGACCUUGGUGCUGGGCAGGGCAAGUUUCCCCAGAGAUUCCUCCCUGUGGAGAGACACCCCUUCCUUCAGAGCCCUUCUCCAACGGAAGCUGGUCCUUGGCACCUACCUCUCCUGGAAGACUCGGUUGCUGUCCCAUCUAGAGAUCAUCCUAGAGGAGGCCCAGGCUCCCGGCUUCUGAGACUGCAUCAGAAGCUGGAUCUCUCUCAGCCAACCACAGCUGGCUGUGUCCCUCCUGUGCCUUCAGAUCUUGCGCUGGGUGCUUUCUUCUGAGUUUCUUGUUGGAGGCCACCCUGAGUCCUUGUGUCCCUCUAGGCCUGGACCCUUGGAAGCUCACGUUCUCUCUCCUAUUGCACAAUGUCACUUGCGACUCGGUUGCAUUCCUUUAUUCUUGGUGUGACACACGGGGGGACUGUCCCCAGCUAGGGCCAGUGUUAGUCCCAGGUGUCCACCAGGGUCACAGUGACUUCUGACUCUAGUUUGUCCACACUGAGCUCUGGUUGUGAGCUCUCCCCCUGCCUCAGUGGAGUGCUCUGGGUCCCGGCUACCUCCAUCAGUCUUAUCCCUGAGAGUUGCACUCUAAGGUACCCGUGGGACUCCCUUUCAGUGAACUGUUCAGUCUUUGUUGCCUCUGCAUGGAUCUCCUUGGCCUCUGUGGCAUUGACUGGAACUUAGCUUUGCUCUCUAGCUGACCAUAAUUAGUGCUUGCAAGUCCCCACAUGCCUUACCUCCCUUAAAUCUAUGAGAUGAAAUGAGAUAAAUGAGAGAUGGCGUUCUCAUCAGAUGGUGUGUCAAUGUUACUGAGACCCACUGUCCAGAGGGGAAACUGAGGCCUGGUAUGGAGAGAUUGCCUAAACCCACAAGCCAGUGUGGGGAGUAAUGAUGGUUUUAAAAACUCAAUAUUUUUUGGAGACAGGGUUUCACUAUAUAGCUUUGGGUGUCUUUUAGACCAGACUGACUUUUAAUUCACAGAGAUCACCCAUCUAUGUCUCCUACGUGCUGGGAUUAAAGAAGUGCACCACCAUGGCCUGCUUUAUACAAAUAUUUUAAUUCUGUCUGUCUGUCUCUGAGACAGGGUCUUUUAUGUAGCCCUGGCUAGCCUGGUUCUCACAGAGAUCUACUUCUGCCUCCUGACUGCUAGUAUUAAAAGCAUUCACCACUGUGCCCAGCACAGGGGUUCUUUUUUUUAAAUUAAUAUUUUUAUUUAUGCUUUGAGAAUUUUAUACUUGUGUACAAUGCAUUUUGAUAAAUUUCACUCCCCACUCUUUCUGACUCCCUUCUGGAUUUAUCCCGCAUACCCUUGCCGACUUCAUCUCUCUCUCUCUCUCUCUCUCUCUCUCUCUCUCUCCUCUCUCUCUCUCUCUCUCUCUCUGUGCCUGUCUGUCUGUCUUUCUCUUUCUUCCUUUCUAAUAAUCCACUGAAUCCAGUUAGCGCUGCCAAUAUUCGCACCUUGUGUGAGCCACCCACAGGAGUGUGGUCAAACCGCUGGUGGCCACACCCCUAAGGAAACUGCCUCUUCCUCCCCCAGCACCCAUUGACUCUCAAUAAAUAGCUCCUCCACUUGAGGUAGGGGCUUGUGUGACCCUACUCCAUCCACGCUGGGCUGUCGCCGGCCUUGGUCUCAGGCAGGCGCUCACAGCUGCUGUGAGUUCCAGUACUUUCAGUAGAUACUGCAGCCCACCCCUCCAUCCCCUUCCUUCUUGAUCUCUGGCUCUGAGUGUUCCCUCUCCUUUUCCUGGAUGUCCCCUGAACCUUGUAGGGACACAGUGUCACACUUGUGACUGAGUACUCAAGUCACAGUCUAGGCUGGCCUCCUGCUUCUGCCCAUCCAGGGCAUCCUAACAGCACUUAGCAUCAUAAUCUGGCUGUCCCCAACAACUCGGAUAAGGUCUUAUAUAUGUCAGGCUGGCUUUAAACUAGUAAAUAACCGAAAAUCAUCUUGAA
Rattus norvegicus (Norway rat) is the source of this 2182-nucleotide long non-coding RNA. RefSeq lists it as uncharacterized. The record is from RefSeq and is a predicted model, not a curated record. NCBI's taxonomy places the organism in Eukaryota, Metazoa, Chordata, Mammalia, Rodentia, Muridae.